ACCUCCAUUAACGGAUGUGUCCUAGCUGAUGCCGAGGACUAAGCACCGCACCAGACACCACAACCACCGCAGACUAACUGGAAUCUCGCUGUCUUCCUUCCACCCUGGAUCAACCUCUGAUAUCCAGGACCGUGUGGGAGAGACCUCUCUUCCAGGAGAGCAUAACAGGAACAGCUCUUAAAAGAGCUAAGUGAUUAGAACCCAGGGGAGUAUACAGAGUAUAGCAAUCCCCAGUGUGAUUAUAGCAGUUCCCUUCUUUCAUGAAUUCAUCCACUUAUAAAAAUGUGAUUAAUGGAAUUUACUGUUCAGACAGGAAAAGUUGUGCCGCACAAUAUUACUGUCCUGACAGGAAAAGUUGUGCUGAGCAGCAAUUAUGCAAAUGAUAAGGGGUUCAGAAAUGUUAUGGAAGUCAUAUUUUUGCCCAGGCGAACACAGGAUUUAAUGCACAAAACCGUUCCAUAGAAUCGCUUCUAAGUGCUGCUGGAGAAGCGACCGUGAACCGCGUGGUUUUCAUGCCGAAAAAGCUUCCAUGGCAUUCGCGGCUAAGUCCCCCAGAAGUCUAUUUGCGGUUUUGGUCCAUGCGAACUAGAUGGCCGCCACCACAUGUUCGAAUGGCGGCCACUUCGACUGUUCGGAAGUUCAAAGAACCAUUGUUUAAAGUCCCAAUAGCCACAAAUAGGGUCUCCCAAUCACAAUAAAUUAAAGGGGCCCUAGUCACAGGGUAAAAGGCUGGCAAGUAGUCCCCUCCAAAAACCAGUGGCGAGGUCACUUUCUCCACAGUGUCAUAUACACACACUGACGCACACGCAGAUACACACAUAUUGACAUACAUACAUACACACAGGCACAUACAAACACGAUAUAUAGUGGCACAUACACACACAUACAAUAUGACAUACAUCAGAGCCACCCUCCUGUUAACUUACCUUGUGUGUCCAGGAGAGUGGCUUGCUUGUGGUCCUGGUGAUGUUGGCUGAUGGGAGUGAGGUGCU
Pelobates cultripes (western spadefoot toad) is the source of this 992-nucleotide non-coding RNA. NCBI's taxonomy places the organism in Eukaryota, Metazoa, Chordata, Amphibia, Anura, Pelobatidae. The record is from the annotation of a GenBank genome assembly.